Molecule: ribosomal RNA, 512 nt
Filed under: uncultured bacterium
Lineage: Bacteria
Description: partial 16S ribosomal RNA
Rfam family: Bacterial small subunit ribosomal RNA
Source: RNAcentral
GAUGAACGCUGGCGGCGUGCCUAAUACAUGCAAGUCGAACGAAACUUCUUUAUCACCGAGUGCUUGCACUCACCGAUAAAGAGUUGAGUGGCGAACGGGUGAGUAACACGUGGGCAACCUGCCCAAAAGAGGGGGAUAACACAUGGAAACAGGUUCUAAUACCGCAUAACCAUAGUUACCGCAUGGUAACUAUGUAAAAGGUGGCUAUACUACCGCUUUUGGAUGGGCCCGCGGCGCAUUAGCUAGUUGGUAGGGUAAAGGCUUACCAAGGCAAUGAUGCGUAGCCGAAUUGAGAGGUUGAUCGGCCACAUUGGGACUGAGACACGGCCCAAACUCCUACGGGAGGCAGCAGUAGGGAAUCUUCCACAAUGGGCGAAAGCCUGAUGGAGCAACGCCGCGUGGGUGAAGAAGGUCUUCGGAUCGUAAAACCCUGUUGUUAGAGAAGAAAGUGCGUGAGAGUAACUGUUCACGUUUCGACGGUAUCUAACCAGAAAGCCACGGCUAACUACGUG